This 253-nucleotide ribosomal RNA is filed under the name uncultured bacterium. Its description in RNAcentral is "partial 16S ribosomal RNA". It matches the Rfam family "Bacterial small subunit ribosomal RNA", at positions 524 to 776 of the family's 1533-position model. The record is from RNAcentral.
UACGAAGGGGGCUAGCGUUGCUCGGAUUGACUGGGCGUAAAGGGCGCGUAGGCGGCGUGUUAAGUCACUUGUGAAAUCUCUAAGCUUAACUUAGAACGGUCAAGUGAUACUGAUGUGCUAGAGUGCAGAAGGGGCAACCGGAAUUCUUGGUGUAGCGGUGAAAUGCGUAGAUAUCAAGAGGAACACCUGAGGUGAAGACGGGUUGCUGGGCUGACACUGACGCUGAGGCGCGAAAGCUAGGGUAGCAAACGGG